GCGUCACAAGGUCACGUACCACCACUACCACAUUUUUUUGAUACCCAGGUUCGACAGUUGGCUUCUGUAUGCCAACAGGCCAGACUUGUUAAGCAAACCAAGGGGUCAAGUGCACAACAGUUACAGGUUGUGCUCUGCGCACUUCCUAGAAGCAGAUUAUAUGGAUCCAGCUCGCACUCGACUGAAGAAGUCUGCUAUACCUAGAGUCCCAGUGCACAAAGAUGGACUCAAGUUUCUUGCGUCACAGGAGGUCUUCCUGAACAAUGUCAAGACCACGACUACGCAAGCCCGCUUCAAGAGGCAACCUUGCAUCUUGACACAGGAGCAUGGCAUGACCCUACAGCACAGUCGUCAAGACUUGCCUUGCUAGACCAUUCGGUGGAAACUUCAAUAUACCAUAAGCCUGGGCGA
Molecule: long non-coding RNA, 411 nt
Organism: Ornithodoros turicata
Lineage: Eukaryota; Metazoa; Arthropoda; Arachnida; Ixodida; Argasidae
Exons: 3
Source: RefSeq, a predicted model, not a curated record